This 27-nucleotide transfer RNA is filed under the name Sapindus sp. A CHR-2022. RNAcentral describes it as "partial tRNA-His". RNAcentral also lists the same sequence under 1 other name. Lineage: Eukaryota; Viridiplantae; Streptophyta; Magnoliopsida; Sapindales; Sapindaceae. The record is from RNAcentral.
GGGGGAUGUACCCAAGGGGAUCAAGGC